RNAcentral lists this ribosomal RNA (1241 nucleotides) under metagenome. Its description in RNAcentral is "bacterial LSU rRNA". It matches the Rfam family "Bacterial large subunit ribosomal RNA", at positions 1564 to 2814 of the family's 2925-position model. The record is from RNAcentral.
UGAAUACGAGACGCUACGGCGUCGAAGCAGUCUAUGUCAUACUUCCAAGAAAAGCUUGCACUGUCAUAAACAAAUAAUGCCUGUACCAUAACCGACACAGGUGGGUAGGUAGAGUAUACUAAGGGGCGCGAGAUAACUCUCUCUAAGGAACUCGGCAAAAUGACUCCGUAACUUCGGGAGAAGGAGUGCCUUAUUUAUAAGGUUGCAAUAACAAGAUCCAAGCAACUGUUUACCAAAAACACAGGUCUCCGCUAAGUCGUAAGACGAUGUAUGGGGGCUGACGCCUGCCCAGUGCCAGAAGGUUAAAGAAGUCGGUUAGCAUUAGCGAAGCUGGUAACUGAAGCCCUGGUGAACGGCGGCCGUAACGAUAACGGUCCUAAGGUAGCGAAAUUCCUUGUCGGGUAAGUUCCGACCCGCACGAAAGGCGUAAUGAUUUGGAUACUGUCUCGGAGAGGGACUCGGUGAAAUAGACUUGUCUGUGAAGAUGCGGACUACCUGCACCAGGACAGAAAGACCCUAUGAAGCUUUACUGUAACUUGAAAUUGAAAUUGGACUUUAUUUGCGCAGUAUAGGUGGGAGGUGUUGAGAGUAUUCUUGCGGGAAUAUUGGAGCCAUCAGUGAGAUACCACUCUUGUAAUGUUAGAUUUCUAACUUUGUAUCAUUAUCUGGUCAAAGGACAGUUUCAGGCGGGCAGUUUGACUGGGGCGGUCGCCUCCUAAACGGUAACGGAGGCGCACAAAGGUUUCCUCUGAACGGGUAGAAAUCGUAUCUAGAGUGUAAAGGCAUAAGGAAGCUUGACUGUGAGACCUACAAGUCGAGCAGGGACGAAAGUCGGUCUUAGUGAUCUGUCGGUGCUGAGUGGAAAGGCCGUCACUCAACGGAUAAAGGUUACUCUAAGGAUAACAGGCUGAUCUCCCCCAAGAGUUCACAUCGACGGGGAGGUUUGGCACCUCGAUGUCGGCUCAUCGCAUCCUGGGGCGGUAGUACGUCCCAAGGGUUGGGCUGUUCGCCCAUGAAAGCGGUACGCGAGCUGGGUUCAGAACGUCGUGAGACAGUUCGGUCCAUAUCCGGUGUAGGCGUUAGAAUAUUGAGAGGAGCCUUCUUUAGUACGAGAGGACCGAGAAGGACAUACCUCUGGUGUACCAGUUAUCGUGCCAACGGUAAACGCUGGGUAGCUAUGUAUGGAGAGGAUAACCGCUGAAAGCAUCUAAGUGGGAAGCCCACCUCAAGAUAAGUAUUCC